RNAcentral lists this ribosomal RNA (146 nucleotides) under uncultured bacterium. RNAcentral describes it as "partial 16S ribosomal RNA". It matches the Rfam family "Bacterial small subunit ribosomal RNA", at positions 349 to 507 of the family's 1533-position model. The record is from RNAcentral.
CAGCAGUAGGGAAUUUUGCGCAAUGGGCGGAAGCCUGAUGCAGCAACGCCGCGUGCGGGAUGACGGCCUUCGGGUUGUAAACCGCUUUCGCCUGUGACGAAGCGUGAGUGACGGUAAUGGGUAAAGAAGCACCGGCUAACUACGUG